RNAcentral lists this ribosomal RNA (406 nucleotides) under uncultured bacterium. RNAcentral describes it as "partial 16S ribosomal RNA". It matches the Rfam family "Bacterial small subunit ribosomal RNA", at positions 29 to 526 of the family's 1533-position model. The record is from RNAcentral.
AUUGAACGCUGGCGGCAGGCCUAACACAUGCAUGUCGAACGAGUGGCGGACGGGUGAGUAAUGUCUGGGUAACUGCCUGAUGGAGGGGGAUAACUACUGGAAACGGUAGCUAAUACCGCAUACCAUCGGAUGUGCCCAGAUGGGAUUAGCUAGUAGGUGGGGUAACGGCUCACCUAGGCGACGAUCCCUAGCUGGUCUGAGAGGAUGACCAGCAACACUGAAACGGAGACACGGCCGAGACUACUACGGGAGGUAGCAGUGGGGAAUAAUGAACAAGGGGAGCAAGCCUGAUGCAGCCAUGCCGCGUAUAUGAAGAAGGCCUGAGGGUUGGAAAGCACUUUCAGCGGGGAGGCGUUACCCGCAGAAGAAGCACCGGCUAAAUACGUGCCAGCAGCCGCGGUAAUAC